GAGAUGGAUUGGUGCCUUCGGGAACUCUGACACAGGUGCUGCAUGGCUGUCGUCAGCUCGUGUCGGUGAGAUGUUGGGUUAAGUCCCGUAACGAGCGCAACCCUUGUCCUUAGUUACCAGCACGUUAUGGUGGGCACUCUAAGGAGACUGCCGGUGACAAACCGGAGGAAGGUGGGGAUGACGUCAAGUCAUCAUGGCCCUUACGGCCUGGGCUACACACGUGCUACAAUGGUCGGUACAAAGGGUUGCCAAGCCGCGAGGUGGAGCUAAUCCCAUAAAACCGAUCGUAGUCCGGAUCGCAGUCUGCAACUCGACUGCGUGAAGUCGGAAUCGCUAGUAAUCGUGAAUCAGAAUGUCACGGUGAAUACGUUCCCGGGCCUU
This 381-nucleotide ribosomal RNA is filed under the name uncultured Pseudomonas sp. Its description in RNAcentral is "bacterial SSU rRNA". It matches the Rfam family "Bacterial small subunit ribosomal RNA", at positions 1003 to 1382 of the family's 1533-position model. Lineage: Bacteria; Pseudomonadati; Pseudomonadota; Gammaproteobacteria; Pseudomonadales; Pseudomonadaceae. The record is from RNAcentral.